Molecule: ribosomal RNA, 256 nt
Filed under: Paduniella mahanawana
Lineage: Eukaryota; Metazoa; Arthropoda; Insecta; Trichoptera; Psychomyiidae
Description: partial 28S large subunit ribosomal RNA
Rfam family: Eukaryotic large subunit ribosomal RNA
Source: RNAcentral
CCGUCUUGAAACACGGACCAAGGAGUCUAGCAUGUGCGCGAGUCAUUGGGAACUAAUAAACCCAGAGGCGAAAUGAAAGUGAACAGCGUCGGUUUCGGCCGUCCGCAGGGAAGAUGGCGAGCGGCGCGCCCGCUCGUCCGCAUUCCCGAGGCGUUUCGAGAAAUGCCAUCGUUGCGAUUAUCGAGACGCACUGAGAGCGUACACGCUGGGACCCGAAAGAUGGUGAACUAUGCCUGGUCAGGUCGAAGUCAGGGAA